GAUGAAGAACGCAGCGAAAUGCGAUAAGUAAUGUGAAUUGCAGAAUUCAGUGAAUCAUCGAAUCUUUGAACGCACAUUGCGCCCGCCAGUAUUCUGGCGGGCAUGCCUGUUCGAGCGUCAUUUCAACCCUCAAGACCCCUUCGGGGGACUUGGUGUUGGGGACCGGCACAGGGGCCUGCCUGCUUGUCUUGCAGCGCCCUCGCCGCCCCCGAAAUGAAUUGGCGGCCUCGUCGCGGCCUCCCCUGCGUAGUAGCACAAACCUCGCAACGGGAACGUGACGGCGGCCACUGCCGUAAAACAACCCAAUUUUAUUAGAGUUGACCUCGAAUCAGGUAGGAAUACCCGCUGAACUUAAGCAUAUCAAUAGCGGAGGA
This 374-nucleotide unclassified non-coding RNA is filed under the name soil metagenome. RNAcentral's name for it is "partial contains 5.8S ribosomal RNA, internal transcribed spacer 2, and large subunit ribosomal RNA". The stretch from base 1 to 120 matches the Rfam family "5.8S ribosomal RNA", at positions 35 to 154 of the family's 154-position model. The record is from RNAcentral.